UCUGAGGAAUCGGCUCCCACAUAAUCAGGUCCCACAGAAAAGAAACAGAGCUCCAGAAAUCCCCCACGGCUGCUGAACCUCUCUACUGAUUUCCCCUCCGUUCCGAAAUGAUUCAAUAUUAUCCGUCAUGAGACUUGAUUCCGCUGCCCGUUUCUGAGAAGCCGUGCCCCCCAAAACAAUUCAAGGGUUUGUUUCUCAUGAGUCUGUUUAUUCUCUUCUCUGGGUUACACGUUCCUAAAAGGGGCAGCACCUCGACCGGAACCAGUGAUAUGAAAAACUGAGCCAAGAACCCAAGUCGGCGUUCUUGAUUUGAGCGCGUUCUUGGAGAGGCGAAUAAAACGUCAACACACGUUUCCUCCAAGCCUAGUUGCCUUUGUAAGUGAGCAGAGGUGUAGUGGAUAGUCACAAUCUGCCAGCCUUUCCCCUCACCUGCACUGCAGCCUGUGGCAAAGGGAAGGAAGAAGAUGGCCAAGAUCCUCAAGGGGCGGGGAGGCCAUCCACACAGGUGUAUGAACAAGAAUGGGCUGGCCCUCGGACAGCCCUCCGACACACUCCCCUCCCCCGAGUUGAACUACAGAAAACUGGGCUCCAUUCAUCAAGAUGGAGGCACCCUUUCCAUUUUUAGGCUCUGAGAACAAGGGAAAAAAUAGACAAGAUUUCAAAGGGCUCCGCCGGGCAGGCACUAUUGCAUCCCACGCUGUGAACAUGCGCUUGACGAGGCGCUGGAGAAAACGCGCCCCGACUGGAGUUGAACCUAGUUGCGUGAGGCGUGUUUCCAAGCCAGUCCCUGGCAGUCACCACCCCGCGCCCCUCGGGGCCGGGCCCCACGCUCUCGUGGACACCGGUUGGUCCCCUCUGGUCUUGUAUUCUCACCUGUCUCGGGAUCGCUGAAGUCUGGCAAAGUAAUUGUGUUAAGCUGUCGUCUGUCAGCAAUGGUUCUAUCUAAGAGGCUGCUCCCACGUCCAGAGUCACUGCAAAACACAGCUACAGAGGUCAGUCAUUUGAAGGGGGGCGGGGGGAAGACACAGACGUCACCACCACGGACCCCUGAAACACCGCAACACACCUUUUGUGCGUUUUUGAUGCUCUUUCACACCCUCUCCCUGGACUUCCAGGAAUCCGGCUUCCGGCCAGGCCUGGGAUCACGUUCCAUGUUCAUGGUCACCAACACACAUAAACCACACCCACAGACCCUUGCUAAUUUUAGCCCCUUUUGCGUCAUUAUAAGACACUUGAAAGAAGACUUGAAGGCAGGGACUCCAUCUGCCUCAGGGCGGGGAACGGACGGAUUCGCGUUCUGUGUUGCAAGUCUUGGAACUCAUCAAGCCCAGAAACACACACUGUCCUUUAUUAAUCAACGUCUGCACCUAAGUCACGGCCCGGGGAAGUCACCUGCCUGGGGCAUUUCUAGAAGACCCUAAUGCCUAGGCCCCUCUCCAGACAAAUCCAUGAGCAUUUCUGGUGCAGCCAACAUUUUUCUAAGCUCCCCAGAGGGCUCUGACGCGCAGCGAGAUCUGAGAACACCUGGCCCCUGCUUCUCCUUUCCAAGGGCAACCACAGCCGGGGCUUCGUCUGUGUCCCUAUUUAGCAGAUAAGGAAAGGGGGUUGUCAGGUCACAUGGCAGCUGCAGCUGGCACUACUGGUCGGCAAGUCACGUGGGAGACCCCAUCAUCAGGCUCUGGGUGGAAUGAAACACAGGUAGGGGACCGGAGCCCAUACAGACUCUGGUUUUAUUUUGUUCUAAGAAGUUUGUAAGCAAAACAAUGGCAUUCUUCCUUUUUUCCUCUAUCAUGAGAUUCCAUCAAAGGAGCUCCAAAACACAGCCCAUCUUAUCUCUGCAAGCUUGAGUCUAUGAUGCUUUUCUUUGAAUCUAUGUUGUUCGUCAAUCUGGGGGCCCUGGGAGUGUUAUUCUGUUGUUGUUAAGAAGUUCAAAUUCUAUAACACAAUUUCCUUCCUUUCCUUGCUGAAAGUGAUGCAAACAAGAUUUGGUAUGAAACUUAAUAUGGUUCACAGGCUGCAAUUUCCACAUCCAGUGAUGUAGUUAGAGAAAUCCACAGGAAACAGACGGAAACUUGCCUCCGUACAGACUACUUGUCAGCCUAUACUUAUUAUAUCACUGGAUACGCGUUUUUUUGGAAACUUCUAUUCAUUAUUUCCACAAUUAAGAGAUAAUAAAUGUCUCUGAGCCGAAGACAACACAAAAGUA
Long non-coding RNA from Suricata suricatta (meerkat), 2206 nucleotides. RefSeq lists it as uncharacterized. The transcript is spliced from 6 exons. The record is from RefSeq and is a predicted model, not a curated record. Lineage: Eukaryota; Metazoa; Chordata; Mammalia; Carnivora; Herpestidae.